AGAUGUAAAAUCUGAGCUGCAACACUGAACAAAAGCUGUACUUGCCAGCCAGCAAAGAUGCUACCACUCUGCACAACAGAUAAAACCCAUACAUAUAGGGAAGUCAAAAGAGUCUUUAAGCUACAGUGUUUGAGAGGCUGUUUGUCUCUGAUGGAAAAUUAAGAAAAUGAGUCCAUUUCUAAGAAGAUGUGGUUCGAACAUACAGAGCUACAUAAUAUGAGUAAAAUAGGACCUAACAGUAGUGUUCUCCAGCAUUGCUCUGCCUUUCCUUUUCUGGAUGUAACAACAUUACUAAGAAAGGAAGAAAAAGCAAAAAUCUGCUCUCGGGGAGAUUCCAGAAUGUUGGAAAGCCCCAAAUGGAAGUCUCUGCUUUGGUUACAGGACAUAAGGUUUAAUAAAUAAAAAGAUGCUCAUCUGGGAUGCUGCACCAAUUAUCAUGUACUAAAUAAGGUUACCUACUUCACUCUCCAGGUAGAAAUGUCUAUCAUAAGCAUGUGCCACAGAAGGUCUCUCAAGUAUCAUUAUUGGCUGUGUUGAAUUUUGUUUUUAGUUCUCUUUUAUAAGGUCUGUAGUCUUACUUUCAGUGAGGAAGUGUUUUCUCAGGUUCUCAAGAAAGUAACAAAAUGCCAGCAUUGUCAAGGUCACCAUUGCCACUGAAUUAUCUUACUGUCUGAUUAUUCCAUCUUCCUCUGCAUCAUAUUAGCCUGAUGACUACAUUCUAAUUAUUUAAAGCGUUAUGUAAAUCAAAGCAGUAAAUGUAAUUUCUAGUCUUACUAGAUAUCAUGUACAUUAGGUCGAAUAACUCUAGAAAUGUCGUCAUA
Molecule: long non-coding RNA, 821 nt
Filed under: Homo sapiens (human)
Lineage: Eukaryota; Metazoa; Chordata; Mammalia; Primates; Hominidae
Description: ZFHX4 antisense RNA 1
Source: RNAcentral